UGGUUCUGGCAUCGAUGAAGAACGCAGCGAAAUGCGAUAAGUAAUGCGAAUUGCAGAAUUCCGUGAGUCAUCGAAUCUUUGAACGCACAUUGCGCCCUUUGGCAUUCCGAAGGGCAUGCCUGUUCGAGCGUCAUUAUCAACCCUCAAGCUUAGCUUGGUGUUGGGCUACGGUAGUCAUUCACCGGCCCUAAAGGCAACGACGGUGUCCCCGGGACCCCUGGUACAAUGAGCUUUUUAUAAGGCACGUACUAUGGUGGGCCCGGGACGCAGUCUCUCUUCAUUUUCUCAGGUUGACCUCGGAUCAGGUAGGGAUACCCGCUGA
Molecule: unclassified non-coding RNA, 322 nt
Filed under: uncultured fungus
Lineage: Eukaryota; Fungi
Description: partial contains 5.8S ribosomal RNA and internal transcribed spacer 2
Rfam family: 5.8S ribosomal RNA (bases 1-133)
Source: RNAcentral